RNAcentral lists this ribosomal RNA (480 nucleotides) under Euphydryas chalcedona. RNAcentral describes it as "partial 16S ribosomal RNA". The stretch from base 342 to 480 matches the Rfam family "Bacterial large subunit ribosomal RNA", at positions 2473 to 2611 of the family's 2925-position model. Lineage: Eukaryota; Metazoa; Arthropoda; Insecta; Lepidoptera; Nymphalidae. The record is from RNAcentral.
UAAAGGGCUGCAGUAUAUUGACUGUACAAAGGUAGCAUAAUCAUUAGUCUUUUAAUUGAAGACUUGUAUGAAAGAUUUGAUGAAAUAUAAACUGUCUCUAAUUUAUAAAUAGAAAUUAAUUUUUUAAUUAAAAAGUUAAAAUAUUAUUAAAAGACGAGAAGACCCUAUAGAGUUUUAUAAUUUAUUUAUUUAUUUAUAAAAUAUAUAUUUAAAUUUAAUAAAUAUAUAAAUUAUUAUAUUGGGGUGAUAAAAAAAUUUAAUAAACUUUUUUUUAAUUAAAUAACAUAAAUAAAUGAAAAAAUGAUCCAUUAUUAAUGAUUAAAAGAAAAAAUUACCUUAGGGAUAACAGCGUAAUAUUUUUUUUUAGUACAAAUAAAAAAAAAAGUUUGCGACCUCGAUGUUGGAUUAAGAUAAAAUUUAAAUGCAAAAGUUUAAAAGUUUUGAUCUGUUCGAUCAUUAAAAUCUUACAUGAUCUGAGCU